RNAcentral lists this ribosomal RNA (1211 nucleotides) under Bacillus licheniformis. RNAcentral describes it as "bacterial SSU rRNA". It matches the Rfam family "Bacterial small subunit ribosomal RNA", at positions 217 to 1419 of the family's 1533-position model. Lineage: Bacteria; Bacillati; Bacillota; Bacilli; Caryophanales; Bacillaceae. The record is from RNAcentral.
ACUUACAGAUGGACCCGCGGCGCAUUAACUAGUUGGUGAGGUAACGGCUCACCAAGGCGACGAUGCGUAGCCGACCUGAGAAGGUGAUCGGCCACACUGGGACUGAAACACGGCCCAGACUCCUACGGGAAGCAGCAGUAUGGAAUCUUCCGCNAUGGACGAAAGUCUGACGGACAACGCCGCGUGAUUGAUUAAGGUUUUCGGAUCGUAACAGUCUGUUGUUAGGGAAGAACAAGUACCGUUCGAAUAGGGCGGUACUUUGACGGUACUUAACCAGAAAGCCACGGCUAACUACGUGCCAGCAGCCGCGGUAAUACGUAGGUGGCAAGCGUUGUCCGGAAUUAUUGGGCGUAAAGCGCGCGCAGGCGGUUUCUUAAGUCUGAUGUGAAAGCCCCCGGCUCAACCGGGGAGGGUCAUUGGAAACUGGGGAACUUGAGUGCAGAAGAGGAGAUUGGAAUUCCCACGUGUAGCGGUGAAAUGCGUAGAGAUGUGGAGGAACACCAGUGGCGAAGGCGACUCUCUGGUCUGUAACUGACGCUGAGGCGCGAAAGCGUGGGGAGCGAACAGGAUUAGAUACCCUGGUAGUCCACGCCGUAAACGAUGAGUGCUAAGUGUUAGAGGGUUUCCGCCCUUUAGUGCUGCAGCAAACGCAUUAAGCACUCCGCUUGGGGAGUACGGUCGCAAGACUGAAACUCAAAGGAAUUGACGGGGGCCCGCACAAGCGGUGGAGCAUGUGGUUUAAUUCGAAGCAACGCGAAGAACCUUACCAGGUCUUGACAUCUUCUGACAACCCUAGAGAUAGGGCUUCCCCUUCGGGGGCAGAGUGACAGGUGGUGCAUGGUUGUCGUCAGCUCUGUGUCGUGAGAUGUUGGGUUAAGUCCCGCAACGAGCGCCACCCUUGAUCUUAGUUGCCANCAUUCAAUUGGGCACUCUCAAGUGACUGCCUGUGACAAACCGGAAGAANGUGGGGAUGACGUCAAAUCAUCAUGCCCCUUAUGACCUGGGCUACACACGUGCUACAAUGGGCAGAACAAAGGGCAGCGAAAGCCGCGAGGCUAAGCCAAUCCCACAAAUCUGUUCUCAGUUCGGAUCGCAGUCUGCAACUCGACUGCGUGAAGCUGGAAUCGCUAGUAAUCGCGGAUCAGCAUGCCGCGGUGAAUACGUCCCGGGCCUUGUACACACCGCCCGUCACACCACGAGAGUUUGUAACA